ACAACUAGUGAUGGGUGUAAUCAUGGUUCUGGUCAUGGAGACAUACAAGAUGCAACAGGAAACUCUCCACUUCCUUCACAAGAUGUUGAGCUUCACAGGCAUGAGGACCCAGGUACUAACAAUAACCCCUCUAGUCCUGUCGCUCCUAUUAGCACCACAAGGCAGAGUGAUAACCAAUUAUCUAUUCUUGCUCCUGAAAAUGAUCUACCUAUUGCUGUCAGGAAACCUACUAGAAAUCGAAACAUUCCAGGGCACCUCAAAGAUUUUAAACAUGAUAUAGCCAAUUUCAUUUCCUAUGAAUAUUGUACUCCACCUUUCAAAAGCUUUAUUGCGUCUUUGGAUUCUGUCUCCAUACCAUCAAACUGGAAAAUAGCUAUAGAGGACCCAAAUUGGAAGGAAGCAAUGCUUGAUGAGAUGAAAGCCUUGGAUAAGAAUGAGACUUGGGAGCUUGUGGAUCUACCACCAGGUAAGCAACCUGUAGGUUGUAAGUGGGUCUUUACUAUUAAACACACCCCCGAGGGCAAGGUGGAGAGGUACAAAGCCCGCCUUGUAGCAAAAGGCUACACACAAACAUAUGGAAUCGAUUACGAAGAGACCUUUGCACCGGUGGCAAAGAUGAAUUCAGUAAGGACACUUAUAUCAUGCGCUGUAAACCUUGAUUGGGAUAUUUACCAGAUGGAUGUGAAGAAUGCUUUCCUUCAUGGUGAUCUCCAAGAAGAAGUAUACAUGCAUAUACCGCCUGGAUUUGAGUCAAGUCAAACUGUUGGAAAGGUAUUGCGCCUACAUCGUUCUUUAUAUGGCUUAAAGCAAUCACCACGAGCUUGGUUUGAUCGGUUUAGACAUGCUAUGCUAAAGAGGGGUUAUCUUCAAAGUAAUGCUGACCAUACGCUAUUUUACAAGCAUAUUAAUGGCAAGGUUGCAAUCUUGAUAGUGUAUGUCGAUGACAUUGUGAUUACUGGAGAUGAUUCCAAGGAAGUUGCAGAUCUGAAGUGUCAUCUUGCACAUGAGUUUGAAGUGAAGGACUUGGGACAACUAAGAUAUUUUCUUGGUAUAGAGGUCUCACGAGGGUCAAAAGGUAUUUUUCUCUCACAACGAAAAUAUAUCUUGGAUCUGCUCAAGGAAACAGGUAUGCUUGGUUGUCGACCUGCUGCUACACCUAUUGAGCAAAAUCAUCGGUUAUGUAGUGAUGCUGGGACACCAGUGGAUCGAGAGCGCUACCAGAGACUAGUUGGAAGAUUAAUAUAUUUAUCUCAUACCCGUCCA
RNAcentral lists this ribosomal RNA (1263 nucleotides) under Triticum aestivum (bread wheat). Its description in RNAcentral is "partial small subunit ribosomal RNA". The record is from RNAcentral. Lineage: Eukaryota; Viridiplantae; Streptophyta; Magnoliopsida; Poales; Poaceae.